GAUGAACGCUGGCGGCGUGCCUAAUACAUGCAAGUCGAGCGAACGGACGAGAAGCUUGCUCCUCUGAUGUUAGCGGCGGACGGGUGAGUAACACGUGGAUAACCUACCUAUAAGACUGGGAUAACUUCGGGAAACCGGAGCUAAUACCGGAUAAUAUUUUGAACCGCAUGGUUCAAAAGUAAAAGACGGUUUUGCUGUCACUUAUAGAUGGAUCCGCGCUGCAUUAGCUAGUUGGUAAGGUAACGGCUUACCAAGGCAACGAUGCGUAGCCGACCUGAGAGGGUGAUCGGCCACACUGGAACUGAGACACGGUCCAGACUCCUACGGGAGGCAGCAGUAGGGAAUCUUCCGCAAUGGGCGAAAGCCUGACGGAGCAACGCCGCGUGAGUGAUGAAGGUCUUCGGAUCGUAAAACUCUGUUAUUAGGGAAGAACAAAUGUGUAAGUAACUAUGCACGUCUUGACGGUACCUAAUCAGAAAGCCACGGCUAACUACGUG
Molecule: ribosomal RNA, 497 nt
Filed under: uncultured bacterium
Lineage: Bacteria
Description: partial 16S ribosomal RNA
Rfam family: Bacterial small subunit ribosomal RNA
Source: RNAcentral